CCGAAUGUUGUUACCAUUUCCUACUGAACAAGCUAGAUUACCACGAAGCAAAGGCUAGAUCUUGGAGAAAGUCUUCCAAAGGAAAGAACAUCUACCUCAAGAAAUAUUUUCCGGUAAUCUCUCAUUCAGGUUAUACUUAGAUCGAAAAACACAGACCCAUAAAGCAUUAUCCUUUGAAACUUUAUUAAACCCAAGUUCAGGAAAAAAUAUGUAUUAUGGUCCCGCAAUUGCCUAAACCC
This 239-nucleotide long non-coding RNA is filed under the name Gossypium barbadense (sea-island cotton). RNAcentral describes it as "long non-coding RNA (GBAR_LNC008536)". The record is from RNAcentral. Lineage: Eukaryota; Viridiplantae; Streptophyta; Magnoliopsida; Malvales; Malvaceae.